GCUAAUACCGCAUAAUGUCGCAAGACCAAAGUGGGGGACCUUCGGGCCUCAUGCCAUCAGAUGUGCCCAGAUGGGAUUAGCUAGUAGGUGGGGUAACGGCUCACCUAAGCGACGAUCCCUAGCUGGUCUGAGAGGAUGACCAGCCACACUGGAACUGAGACACGGUCCAGACUCCUACGGGAGGCAGCAGUGGGGAAUAUUGCACAAUGGGCGCAAGCCUGAUGCAGCCAUGCCGCGUGUGUGAAGAAGGCCUUCGGGUUGUAAAGCACUUUCAGCGG
RNAcentral lists this ribosomal RNA (278 nucleotides) under Klebsiella sp. LM1105. RNAcentral's name for it is "partial 16S ribosomal RNA". It matches the Rfam family "Bacterial small subunit ribosomal RNA", at positions 162 to 442 of the family's 1533-position model. The record is from RNAcentral. Lineage: Bacteria; Pseudomonadati; Pseudomonadota; Gammaproteobacteria; Enterobacterales; Enterobacteriaceae.